This 640-nucleotide ribosomal RNA is filed under the name uncultured archaeon. RNAcentral's name for it is "bacterial SSU rRNA". It matches the Rfam family "Archaeal small subunit ribosomal RNA", at positions 339 to 981 of the family's 1478-position model. The record is from RNAcentral.
UCGCGAAAACUCCGCAAUACACGAAAGUGUGACGGGGCCAUCCCGAGUGCCGUCCGCUGAGGACGGCUUUUCCCCAGUGUAUACAGCUGGGGGAAUAAGGAGAGGGCAAGCCUGGUGUCAGCCGCCGCGGUAAUACCAGCUCUCCGAGUGGUGGGGACGCUUAUUGGGCCUAAAGCAUCCGUAGCCGGCUGGGCAAGUCCUCCGUUAAAUCCAACGAUUCAAUCGUUGGACUGCGGGGGAUACUGUCCAGCUUGGGGGCGGGAGAGGCCGACGGUAUUCCCGGGGUAGGGGUGAAAUCCUAUAAUCCCGGGAGGACCACCAGUGGCGAAGGCUGUCGGCUGGAACGCGCCCGACGGUGAGGGAUGAAAGCUGGGGGAGCGAACCGGAUUAGAUACCCGGGUAGUCCCAGCCGUAAACGAUGCAGGCUAGGUGUUAGAACGGCCACGAGCCGUUCUAGUGCCGCAGGGAAGCCGUUAAACCUGCCGCCUGGGGAGUACGGCCGCAAGGCUGAAACUUAAAGGAAUUGGCGGGGGAGCACCACAAGGGGUGAAGCUUGCGGUUUAAUUGGAGUCAACGCCGGAAACCUCACCGGGGGCGACAGCAGAAUGAAGGCCAGAUUGAAGGUCUUGCCAGACAAGCU